GACGAACGCUGGCGGCGUGCUUAACACAUGCAAGUCGAGCGGAGCGGCGAACGGGCGAGUAACGCGUGAGUAACUGCCCCCCUCCCUGGGAUAACAGUUGGAAACGGCAGCUAAUACCGGAUAGUGGGGGAUGACUCGCGUCCUAUCAGCUUGUUGGUGGGGUAGUGGCCUACCAAGGCGACGAAGGGUAGCCGGUCUGGGAGGGCGACCGGCCACAUUGGGCUGAGAUACGGACCAAACAACUACGUGAGGCAGCAGUGGGGAGUAUUGCACGAUGGGGGAAAGCCUGAGGCAGCAACGCGCGUGCGGGAUGACGGCCUUCGGGUUGUAAACCGCUUUCAGCCAUGACGCGGUAGUGGCAGAAGAAGCACCGGCUAACUACGUGCCAGCAGCCGCGGUAAUAC
This 404-nucleotide ribosomal RNA is filed under the name uncultured bacterium. RNAcentral's name for it is "partial 16S ribosomal RNA". It matches the Rfam family "Bacterial small subunit ribosomal RNA", at positions 28 to 526 of the family's 1533-position model. The record is from RNAcentral.